AGUGAACGCUGGCGGUAGGCCUAACACAUGCAAGUCGAACGGCCGCACAGUAAGCGCUUGCCCUUACGGGUGGCGAGUGGCGGACGGGUGAGGCAUACAUCGGAAUCUAAUUUUUCGUGGGGGAUAACGUAGGGCAACUUACGCUAAUACCGCAUACGACCUACGGGUGAAAGCAGGGGAUCUUCGGACCUUGCGCGAUUCAAUGAGCCGAUGUCGGAUUAGAUAGUUGGCGGGGUAAAGGCCCACCAAGGCGACGCUACGAAGCUGGUCUGAGCGGAUGAUCAGCCACACUGGAACUUGGACACGGGCCAGACUCCUACGGGAGGCAACAGUGGGGAAUAUUGGACAAUGGGCGCAAACCUUAUCCAGCCAUACCGCGUGGGUGAAGAAGGCUUUCGGGUUGGAAAGCCCUUUUGUUGGGAAAGAAAAGCAGCAGGUUAAUACCCCGCUGUUCUGACGGUACCCAAAGAAUAAGCACCGGCUAACUUCGUG
Molecule: ribosomal RNA, 492 nt
Filed under: uncultured bacterium
Lineage: Bacteria
Description: partial 16S ribosomal RNA
Rfam family: Bacterial small subunit ribosomal RNA
Source: RNAcentral